This 432-nucleotide ribosomal RNA is filed under the name uncultured bacterium. Its description in RNAcentral is "bacterial SSU rRNA". It matches the Rfam family "Bacterial small subunit ribosomal RNA", at positions 28 to 507 of the family's 1533-position model. The record is from RNAcentral.
GAUGAACGCUGGCGGCGUGCUUAACACAUGCAAGUCGAACGAACCUUCGGGUUAGUGGCGGACGGGUGAGUAACGCGUGAGAAUCUGCCCUCAGGAGGGGGAUAACGGCUGGAAACGGCCGCUAAUACCCCAUAUGCCGCGAGGUGAAAUGAAUUUCGCCUGAGGAUGAGCUCGCGUCUGAUUAGCUAGUUGGUGGGGUAAAGGCCUACCAAGGCUUCGAUCAGUAGCUGGUCUGAGAGGAUGAUCAGCCACACUGGGACUGAGACACGGCCCAGACUCCUACGGGAGGCAGCAGUGGGGAAUUUUCCGCAAUGGGCGAAAGCCUGACGGAGCAACGCCGCGUGAGGGAUGAAGGCCUCUGGGCUGUAAACCUCUUUUAUCAAGGAAGAAGAUCUGACGGUGCUUGAUGAAUAAGCCACGGCUAACUCCGUG